RNAcentral lists this ribosomal RNA (661 nucleotides) under uncultured archaeon. RNAcentral's name for it is "bacterial SSU rRNA". It matches the Rfam family "Archaeal small subunit ribosomal RNA", at positions 1 to 668 of the family's 1478-position model. The record is from RNAcentral.
UUUUAGGUUGAUCCUGCCGGACCUGACUGCUAUCUGAUUGGUACUAAGCCAUGUGAGUCGUUGUAGCAAUACAAGGCGGACUGCUCAGUAACACGUAGUUAACUUAACCUAUGGAUGGGAAUAACCUCGGGAAACUGAGAAUAAUACCCAAUAGACCACAGUGCCUGGAAUGGCCUGUGGUUGAAAUGAUUUAUCGCCGUAGGAUAGGACUGCGGCCUAUCAGCUUGUUGGUGAGGUAAUGGCCCACCAAGGCUAUAACAGGUACGGGCUCUGAGAGGAGGGGCCCGGAGAUGGGUACUGAGACACGGACCCAGGCCCUAUGGGGCGCAGCAGGCGAGAAACCUUUGCAAUGUGCGAAAGCACGGCAAGGUUAAUCCGAGUGUCUCCUGCUAAAGGAGUCUUUUGUCAGUUGUAGAAUCACUGGUGAAUAAGGGGUGGGCAAGUUCUGGUGUCAGCCGCCGCGGUAAAACCAGCACCUCGAGUGGUCAGGAGGUUUAUUGGGCCUAAAGCAUCCGUAGCCGGUUGCAUAAGUUUUCGGUUAAAUCUAUGCGCUUACCGUAUCGGCCGGCGAACAUUCUGUGCAGCUAGGGAGUGGGAGCGGUACACGGUACUCGAUAGGACGGGGGUAAAUCCUUUGAUCUAUUGAAGACCCCCUGUGGCG